AGUGAACGCUGGCGGUAGGCCUAACACAUGCAAGUCGAACGGCAGCACAGUAAGAGCUUGCUCUUACGGGUGGCGAGUGGCGGACGGGUGAGGAAUACAUCGGAAUCUACUUUUUCGUGGGGGAUAACGUAGGGAAACUUACGCUAAUACCGCAUACGACCUACGGGUGAAAGCAGGGGAUCUUCGGACCUUGCGCGAUUGAAUGAGCCGAUGUCGGAUUAGCUAGUUGGCGGGGUAAAGGCCCACCAAGGCGACGAUCCGUAGCUGGUCUGAGAGGAUGAUCAGCCACACUGGAACUGAGACAGGGUCCAGACUCCUACGGGAGGCAGCAGUGGGGAAUAUGGGACAAUGGGGGCAAGCCUGAUCCAGCCAUACCGCGUGGGUGAAGAAGGCCUUCGGGUUGUAAAGCCCUUUUGUUGGGAAAGAAAAGCAGCAGGUUAAUACCCCGCUGUUCUGACGGUACCCAAAGAAUAAGCACCGGCUAACUUCGUG
This 492-nucleotide ribosomal RNA is filed under the name uncultured bacterium. Its description in RNAcentral is "partial 16S ribosomal RNA". It matches the Rfam family "Bacterial small subunit ribosomal RNA", at positions 29 to 507 of the family's 1533-position model. The record is from RNAcentral.